RNAcentral lists this transfer RNA (69 nucleotides) under Hydromanicus wulaianus. Its description in RNAcentral is "tRNA-Trp". Lineage: Eukaryota; Metazoa; Arthropoda; Insecta; Trichoptera; Hydropsychidae. The record is from RNAcentral.
AAGAUUUUAAGUUAAACAUAAACUAUUAAUUUUCAAAAUUAAAUUUAAAGUAACUUUCUUUAAGUCUUA